Lytechinus pictus (painted urchin) is the source of this 3270-nucleotide long non-coding RNA. RefSeq lists it as uncharacterized. The transcript is spliced from 2 exons. Lineage: Eukaryota; Metazoa; Echinodermata; Echinoidea; Temnopleuroida; Toxopneustidae. The record is from RefSeq and is a predicted model, not a curated record.
GAUAUUCAAAUUGGCCAAUUUGACAAAGCUUACCGCUAGCUAGCUAGCUAGCUAGCUGCAAACACCGCGUACGGAAGGCUGAACCGAGUUAUCGUGUUGGAAGUUUUGACUGAUUGACUAUCGUGCUUUAUUUCUGUUUAUCUAACAUUUUCAUUAUUUGUUACCUUUGAUUUUAAAUAAAACUAAACUUAUCGCGGCAAUCGCGGACGGUUUGUACUGAGUGAAAUGGAAGGCCCGAGACCCUACGACUUCGAGCCGCAAUACUCGGCCGAAGAAAUUGCUCAACGAGCAGAGGAACGUCGGCGCACGGGUUGCAGCAGCGAGAGAGACAAUAACGGAGCCGAUGUUGAGCCACCGCCACCACCACCAGAUAGACUGGACAACGAUAACUGGUGCAGUUGUGGAAAUUGUAGAGUGAUGCCAACGCAAAUAGAGUGCAUAUGUUGCCACGAGAUAGGAAACUGCCGCCAAUUUUUGUCUCCGUCUGUGAACUGUAUUAUAGAUAAUGAAGAUUUUUCAAAAGUUUGCCUGGAGCGUGCGGUGCUGAGAACUGCGCUUGUUGCCCGCCUGGACAAGCGAGGUCACCGAGGCAAUUUGCCAAGGAUCCUUGAAAAUGAAUCCUACAGAUACUCUGCAUAUCGUCUCUUCACCUAUUGGAUUCAUGGUCUUCUGGGAAGGGGUGUGAGGAAGGUGAUACCAUCUUGCGCCGUCUUGAAAAUUCAUUCCAUCUACCCAGCAGCGGACGGUGUUUAUACAGGAUUUAGUAUUGGCGAUGAUGGUGAGCAGCAGAUGGUACCAGAACAUUUUGCAAUAUGAACCUUUUUGCUAGCCUACAGCAUACAGUUAUAUGACCCUUCUUAUAUCCCAAAUGAAACUCCUGCCUUCUUUUGCUCUCAGUUAAUAUGUGUACAUUAAGACAAUUUUGUGAUAAGCUGUCAUGGGAUGAAGUUGGGAAUCAAAUGGGAGCUUUGAAAGUGAUUUUUUUCUUCCCACUUUGUAAUUCAGAAAAUAGCAUUAAAAACUGACAAACUAAAGCUUUUUGAAGAAUAAAAUCACAUCAUUGAACAUAAUGCUAGUAUGUAGAACAAAACAAAUGCUAUAUAAGUCUGAAAACAUUUUGUAGCAACAUUCUUUUAGCUCAUGAGAUUUCACUCUGAUAAUGAGUGCAUGUUGAAAAGAUUCAGUAUGCAGUACACAUGUACAGUAUAAUGUCCCAUAAUGUAUGUCCAUACAUUAUUUUCCUACUUUGCUGUAUCAAAUGCCUAUUCAUUUUAUUGUAAAUGUGUCUACAUGUAAUUGAAGUUUUCAUAUAUAUUUUUGUAUACUGUAUAAUGAAUUACAUCAAAAUAGUGAUUUUACACCUUUCCAGGAUUAAAAAUGAAAUUACAUGUACAUAUAACUCUUGCAUUCAUUCUAAAAUUUUAGGGUCAGACAGGAAUAUCUAGAGCUUUAGAGACAAUGGCGGUUCAUACAUUGUACAUGCAGAAUUCACAUCAUGUACUACUGUACCAUAAUGUUUGAGCAUGUGUCUAGUUUUUGUAAUUUAAGAAUACAUGUACAUGUUUUUAAAGUUUGAAUCCAUUGUCUGAUUCGUAAUACACAGAACAUUAAAUUCUGUAAUAUGAAAACAUAUUGUGUGAAAGAAAUUACCUGGUACUUGCAUGUAAGAACUUACGGUACACAGAACUUGACAGAAGGGCAAAUUUACAGUUUGAAUUUCCAAAUUAUAAGCUGGAGGAUGCCCACGUUAGCUUUCUUAUAAUCUUUCAUUUUAAUUUGUUUUCUGUAUUGCAGUACAUGUAAGAUUUACUUAUGUUUGUUUUAUGCAUUACGUUUUUAUAUGACAAAUUUGACAAAGAAGGUUUUGGCAACACAAUGGGAGUAGGUCAUUCAUUGCAUGCAGUUCAAUGUUUAUAAAAAAAUUAAAAGGUUGUACAUGUACAUUGCAUUAUGAAAGAUUAUUGACUCUACAUGUACCUGUAAGGUGUUCUCUCUGGAUUUGUCUACAUGUUGUACUUUUAACAACGGAUACAUUAUAUUGUUGAAGGCUGCAUGUACAUGUAAGUUUUUAUUUUUUUAAAGGUCAAGAAAACUACCAUAACUUGAGUGCAGAAUAGCAUUGUCUUGUUUCUACGAGAGAAAAAAUUGUCAAUUUACACAUGACUGUCUGGAACCAUAUAAAAAAAGACAUUGUGAAAAUUAUUUGUUUCACAUUGGCUCCUGGCAUACACAUUUUAGUGAGAAAAAUUAUGUUUAUAAAGCUUUUUGUUGUUGUUGUUGAAUGCAAGGUCAAUUGCUCCAGUUGGGAGGUUUUAAAUGUUGCAUGGCUGUUCACCUUUGUCAAAACCUUGAUAUACAUAUACAUUUAAACCAGUAUUCAGUGGUGACUGGUCAUAUUUGUUGCAAAUCUUGCUCACCCCUCAUAUAUGUUUAUGUUAAUAAUUUUUUUUCUCCAAAUUUUAAUGCAUCUUUAGGGAAAUGGGUGGGUGGGUGGUCAGCCUUGCCUCAGUCAUUCUAUUUUGCAGAUAAAAUGACAUGCAGUUCAGGCACUCUGUCCCUUCCUUUUUUUCUUUGAAGUAAUUACAUUUAUUUUCGACAUAUUUCUCAGAUGAGAUAUGAUUAUGCAGAAAAAAUAUAUAUGGUUGCACUGCCAUUGUUAUGACAAAUACAUGUACAGUUGGAAUAUAUUAAAAUAGGAAUGAAAUGUUGCAUUUUGUAAUAGAUGUUGGUACACUAACUUGUAUUACUUUGUAAAGCAAUUUUAAUUUAAAUUGACACACUCGAGUUAGAAUGUACAUCAUACAUGCGACCUACAUUAUGCAUGCAUGUGUGUUUUGAAAUGGAUUUGCUGUAAUGGCAACCUGUUAUUACAAUGCUUAUGGUAAAAAAUGAAGAUCAAAUUUCUUUUUUAAUUUUGUAGUAUCGUUUAGAAAAUGCAGCACACACUAAGUACUGUAUCAUUAGUCUUUGAAUGAAAAGGUGCACAACACACUUUUAGAAUAUAUCGGACAUUUAGUAACAGUCACUAAAACAGAGAUAACUGCUUAUUUUCCUUUUUUGUAAAGUGCUUGUGAACUGUUCCAUACUCAUGGGGCUAGGAUUAUCAAUCACCAAUUUAUUUUCAGUUGUUUCUGUACAUGUAAAUAAAUGCCAUUUUAAUUUGUUUUACAUGUAUAUUAAAAUCAUUAUUGUAGAAAAAAGUUACAAUUUCUAUCAUAUAUGUGUGUCAUUUUAUGUUAAUAAAAUUUGAAAAAUACUUGACUCAAAACA